AAUUUACACUACUACGCAACAGAAACCAAGAAAAUCAGCUAAAAUCACCAUUUUUGACAAGAAGGGCCGCUCUAGCAAAGAAGAGACUGGUCUAGCUCCUAACUUACUAGUAGCCUGCACUUCUGUAAGAGCUCAAAAGAUGCGCAAGGUAAUGAAGUACUUGCAUAACAAAUUUCAGAUCUUAACUCAAACAUAUAAGAUAGUUUCAUGCCUAACAUAUUUUCAAUGUACACAUAUUGUAGCAGCCAUCUUGGAGUGAUGAUGUCAUAUGAUGUAACAGGUGGUGGUCCAAUGGAAGCGCCAAGAGUUGAACUUUCAGUACCUGCACUCAAAUUGUUCCAAUCACAUUUAGUUUAGAAGAUAUUCACAAAAACGUAAAAAAUCAAAAGUUCUACUCUC
Long non-coding RNA from Halichondria panicea, 399 nucleotides. RefSeq lists it as uncharacterized. Lineage: Eukaryota; Metazoa; Porifera; Demospongiae; Suberitida; Halichondriidae. The record is from RefSeq and is a predicted model, not a curated record. The transcript is spliced from 2 exons.